UACGGAGGAUGCGAGCGUUAUCCGGAUUUAUUGGGUUUAAAGGGUGCGUAGGCGGCCUGCCAAGUCAGCGGUAAAAUUGCGGGGCUCAACCCCGAACAGCCGUUGAAACUGCCGGGCUCGAGUGGGCGAGAAGUAUGCGGAAUGCGUGGUGUAGCGGUGAAAUGCAUAGAUAUCACGCAGAACCCCGAUUGCGAAGGCAGCAUACCGGCGCCCUACUGACGCUGAGGCACGAAAGUGCGGGGAUCAAACAGG
This 252-nucleotide ribosomal RNA is filed under the name uncultured bacterium. RNAcentral describes it as "partial 16S ribosomal RNA". It matches the Rfam family "Bacterial small subunit ribosomal RNA", at positions 524 to 776 of the family's 1533-position model. The record is from RNAcentral.